UUUAAAAUGAGAGUUUGAUCCUGGCUCAGGAUGAACGCUGGCGGCGUGCCUAAUACAUGCAAGUCGAACGCUUUGUGCUUAAUUGAUAUGACGAGCUUGCUCUGAUUUGAUUUUUUGAUUUCAAAGAGUGGCGAACGGGUGAGUAACACGUGGGUAAC
Molecule: ribosomal RNA, 158 nt
Filed under: Weissella hellenica
Lineage: Bacteria; Bacillati; Bacillota; Bacilli; Lactobacillales; Lactobacillaceae
Description: 16S rRNA. Bacterial SSU
Rfam family: Bacterial small subunit ribosomal RNA
Source: RNAcentral